UGGACCUCUCGGGGUUACAGCCUUGCUGAAUUAUUCACCCUUGUCUUUUGCGUACUUCUUGUUUCCUUGGUGGGUUCGCCCACCACUAGGACAAACAUAAACCUUUUGUAAUUGCAAUCAGCGUCAGUAACAAAUUAAUAAUUACAACUUUCAACAACGGAUCUCUUGGUUCUGGCAUCGAUGAAGAACGCAGCGAAAUGCGAUAAGUAGUGUGAAUUGCAGAAUUCAGUGAAUCAUCGAAUCUUUGAACGCACAUUGCGCCCUUUGGUAUUCCAAAGGGCAUGCCUGUUCGAGCGUCAUUUGUACCCUCAAGCUUUGCUUGGUGUUGGGCGUCUUGUCUCUAGCUUUGCUGGAGACUCGCCUUAAAGUAAUUGGCAGCCGGCCUACUGGUUUCGGAGCGCAGCACAAGUCGCACUCUCUAUCAGCAAAGGUCUAGCAUCCAUUAAGCCUUUUUUUCAACUUUUGACCUCGGAUCAGGUAGGGAUACCCGCUGAACUUAAGCAUAUC
Molecule: ribosomal RNA, 507 nt
Filed under: Alternaria sp. Korla8
Lineage: Eukaryota; Fungi; Ascomycota; Dothideomycetes; Pleosporales; Pleosporaceae
Description: eukaryotic LSU rRNA
Rfam family: 5.8S ribosomal RNA (bases 146-299)
Source: RNAcentral